GCUGACCCAGUGCCUCCAGGGACUUAUCAAUAGACCACUCAGAAGAGACACAGACAGGAGAGAGGAGGAGGGGUGGGGGGAGAGAGAGAGAAUCAAUAUCAAGAAUAGAAGGAGCUCCGAAGCCAUUUUUUUUUUAAAGAAGUAUCGGGACUUGGGAGAGGGUGACAAAGAAGGUUUUUCAAAGAGGCAGUGGAGGAGGUUCUAAUAAAUUUGGAAGGAAACAGUUCCCUGUCUUGGGAAAAGGAGAACUCCUGACUGAUUAGCAUUCACACCAGAUGCAGCUGCUCUUUGUUCCCUGCCCCAAUGAACAUCUGCACUAGGCCCAAGCCUCGGAGUGAUUUACCUGAAGAGUGACACCAUUUAUUUGGAAACCACUAUGAGGAAACUGAAGCCCAGAGAGGUGAAGUGAGGUGCCCAAAGCCACACAGCAAGUUAGAGGCACAACUAGUACCAUAGCUCAAGUCUCCUGACUCCCAGUCCAGUGCUCUUCCCAUUACUCCACGGGUCCUGUCUCUAAGCUUCCUGACAAAUGCUAGAACGGAAGAAACCCAAGACAGCUG
Long non-coding RNA from Galeopterus variegatus (Sunda flying lemur), 560 nucleotides. RefSeq lists it as uncharacterized. The record is from RefSeq and is a predicted model, not a curated record. The transcript is spliced from 4 exons. NCBI's taxonomy places the organism in Eukaryota, Metazoa, Chordata, Mammalia, Dermoptera, Cynocephalidae.